Molecule: ribosomal RNA, 412 nt
Filed under: uncultured bacterium
Lineage: Bacteria
Description: bacterial SSU rRNA
Rfam family: Bacterial small subunit ribosomal RNA
Source: RNAcentral
AGUGGCGGACGGGUGAGUAACGCGUGAGAAUCUGCCUUCAGGAUGGGGACAACAGUUGGAAACGACUGCUAAUACCCAAUAUGCCUACGGGUGAAACUUUUUUGGCCUGAAGAUGAGCUCGCGUCUGAUUAGCUAGUUGGUGGUGUAAUGGACUACCAAGGCGACGAUCAGUAGCUGGUCUGAGAGGAUGAGCAGCCACACUGGGACUGAGACACGGCCCAGACUCCUACGGGAGGCAGCAGUGGGGAAUUUUCCGCAAUGGGCGAAAGCCUGACGGAGCAAUACCGCGUGAGGGAGGAAGGUUUUUGGAUUGUAAACCUCUUUUCUCAGGGAAGAAUUUUGACGGUACCUGAGGAAUAAGCACCGGCUAACUCCGUGCCAGCAGCCGCGGUAAUACGGAGGGUGCAAGCGU